This 468-nucleotide ribosomal RNA is filed under the name uncultured bacterium. RNAcentral describes it as "partial 16S ribosomal RNA". It matches the Rfam family "Bacterial small subunit ribosomal RNA", at positions 28 to 507 of the family's 1533-position model. The record is from RNAcentral.
GACGAACGCUGGCGGCGUGCUUAACACAUGCAAGUCGAACGGAAAGGCCCUGCUUUUGUGGGGUGCUCGAGUGGCGAACGGGUGAGUAACACGUGAGUAACCUGCCCUUGACUUUGGGAUAACUUCAGGAAACUGGGGCUAAUACCGGAUAGGAGCUCCUGCUGCAUGGUGGGGGUUGGAAAGUUUCGGCGGUUGGGGAUGGACUCGCGGCUUAUCAGCUUGUUGGUGGGGUAGUGGCUUACCAAGGCUUUGACGGGUAGCCGGCCUGAGAGGGUGACCGGCCACAUUGGGACUGAGAUACGGCCAAGACUCCUACGGGAGGCAGCAGUGGGGAAUAUUGCACAAUGGGCGGAAGCCUGAUGCAGCAACGCCGCGUGCGGGAUGACGGCCUUCGGGUUGUAAACCGCUUUCGCCUGAGACGAAGCGUGAGUGACGGUAAUGGGUAAAGAAGCACCGGCUAACUACGUG